This 497-nucleotide ribosomal RNA is filed under the name uncultured bacterium. Its description in RNAcentral is "partial 16S ribosomal RNA". It matches the Rfam family "Bacterial small subunit ribosomal RNA", at positions 28 to 507 of the family's 1533-position model. The record is from RNAcentral.
GAUGAACGCUGGCGGCGUGCCUAAUACAUGCAAGUCGAGCGAACGGACGAGAAGCUUGCUUCUCUGAUGUUAGCGGCGGACGGGUGAGUAACACGUGGAUAACCUACCUAUAAGACUGGGAUAACUUCGGGAAACCGUAGCUAAUACCGGAUAAUAUUUUGAACCGCAUGGUUCAAAAGUGAAAGACGGUCUUGCUGUCACUUAUAGAUGGAUCCGCGCUGCAUUAGCUAGUUGGUAAGGUAACGGCUUACCAAGGCAACGAUGCAUAGCCGACCUGAGAGGGUGAUCGGCCACACUGGAACUGAGACACGGUCCAGACUCCUAAGGGAGGCAGCAGUAGGGAAUCUUCCGCAAUGGGCGAAAGCCUGACGGAGCAACGCCGCGUGAGUGAUGAAGGUCUUCGGAUCGUAAAACUCUGUUAUUAGGGAAGAACAUAUGUGUAAGUAACUGUGCACAUCUUGACGGUACCUAAUCAGAAAGCCACGGCUAACUACGUG